GUGGGGUUGUGGAUCAGUGGUAGAGUACUCGCCUAGCAUGUGCAAGGUCCUGGGUUUGAUCCUCAGCACCACA
This 73-nucleotide transfer RNA is filed under the name Marmota monax (woodchuck). RNAcentral's name for it is "tRNA.Ala". Lineage: Eukaryota; Metazoa; Chordata; Mammalia; Rodentia; Sciuridae. The record is from RNAcentral.